UACGUAGGGGGCGAGCGUUGUCCGGAUUCAUUGGGCGUAAAGCGCGGGCAGGCGGCCCGCUCAGUCGGCCGUGAAAGCGCCGGGCUCAACUCGGCGCGGUCGGGCGAUACUGGCGGGCUGGAGGCUGGUAGAGGGCGGUGGAAUUCCGGGUGUAGUGGUGGAAUGCGUAGAGCUCCGGAGGAACACCAGUGGCGAGGACGGCCGGCCCUGGGCCAGGUCCGUCGAGGC
RNAcentral lists this ribosomal RNA (228 nucleotides) under uncultured bacterium. Its description in RNAcentral is "partial 16S ribosomal RNA". It matches the Rfam family "Bacterial small subunit ribosomal RNA", at positions 524 to 752 of the family's 1533-position model. The record is from RNAcentral.